RNAcentral lists this unclassified non-coding RNA (377 nucleotides) under uncultured bacterium. RNAcentral describes it as "contains 16S-23S intergenic spacer region". The record is from RNAcentral.
UCCGAUUUGUCACCGGCGGUCUCCCUAGAGUGCCCAACUGAAUGAUGGCAACUAAAGGCGAGGGUUGCGCUCGUUGCGGGACUUAACCCAACAUCUCACGACACGAGCUGACGACAGCCAUGCAGCACCUGUCUCCGCGCCUCUUGCGAGGACCACCCAUCUCUGGGCUUAGCACGGGAUGUCAAGGCCUGGUAAGGUUCUGCGCGUUGCGUCGAAUUAAACCACAUGCUCCACUGCUUGUGCGGGUCCCCGUCAAUUCUUUUGAGUUUCACCCUUGCGGGCGUACUUCCCAGGCGGCAUACUUAACGCGUUCGCUACGGCACAACCGGGGUUGAGUCCGGUUACACCAAGUAUGCAUCGUUUACGGCUAGGACUAC